RNAcentral lists this ribosomal RNA (440 nucleotides) under uncultured bacterium. RNAcentral's name for it is "SSU rRNA". It matches the Rfam family "Bacterial small subunit ribosomal RNA", at positions 26 to 518 of the family's 1533-position model. The record is from RNAcentral.
AGAACGAACGCUGGCGGCAGGCCUAACACAUGCAAGUCGAACGCAUCGCAAGAUGAGUGGCAGACGGGUGAGUAACACGUGGGAACCUUCCUUUUAGUACGGAAUAGCCUAGGGAAACUUAGAUUAAUACCGUAUACGCCCUAUGGGGGAAAGAAUUAUCGCUAAAAAGAUGGGCCCGCGUAAGAUUAGCUAGUUGGUGAGGUAAUGGCUCACCAAGGCUACGAUCUUUAGCUGGUUUGAGAGAAUGAUCAGCCACACUGGAACUGAGACACGGUCCAGACCCCUACGGGAGGCAGCAGUGGGGAAUAUUGGACAAUGGGCGCAAGCCUGAUCCAGCCAUGCCGCGUGAAUGAUGAAGGCCUUCGGGUUGUAAGUUCUUUAGUGGAGAAAUAUGAUGGUAUCCACAGAAAAGCCCCGGCUAACUUCGUGCCAGCAGCCGC